GGGCGGACGGAUAGAACAAUGGAGCGCAUUCCAAAUACGGCACAGAAGACCCUGCAAAAAAACUGGUACCUCUGCUCAGAACAUAUGGGGAGUGCGAACGGAGCGACUGCAGUGACCAAGGGAGAGCCCAUUAUCCUGUCAAGCUCUGCUUGGGUAUGUACUUCAAUGUGUAGCUCCUCUCGGGCUUCGCUCUAAACUUGGGCCUGUAGCCGACAGCUGACGCCGAGUUGGCCGCCGCCAUCUCGACAUCCACAUUUUCGACUUGACUGCAGUGGCUGGAAGAGUCGAUCGGCGGUGGUUGCGCGCCGGUGCCAGUGCGCGAUUCCUCGCAGAAGCCGAUGUCGGGCACCCCGGUGCGUGAUUCUUCGUGGAGGUCGGCACCAC
Molecule: long non-coding RNA, 384 nt
Filed under: Spirodela polyrhiza (greater duckweed)
Lineage: Eukaryota; Viridiplantae; Streptophyta; Magnoliopsida; Alismatales; Araceae
Description: long non-coding RNA (SPOL_LNC000126)
Source: RNAcentral